Molecule: non-coding RNA, 228 nt
Organism: Biomphalaria pfeifferi
Lineage: Eukaryota; Metazoa; Mollusca; Gastropoda; Planorbidae
Source: the annotation of a GenBank genome assembly
UACCUGACGUUUGUUUUACCUGACAUUUAUUGGCCCUGACAUUUGUCUGGGAAGUAAAAAUAAAGAAGUAAUAGCUUUUUACUUUUACUCAAAAUUGAUCAACAUUUCUUUAUUUAUUUUAUGUUUCCAUGACAUUAAAAAUAAAAAGAUUCAAUUACGCGUUUGAGAUUCAACAAUCUCCUGCUUUACUCAUUUAUAUAGAAGUAAUGUCAACGUUUUAAUCAUCGA